GAAAGACGGUCACUGGCAUCCAUUGUAAGUUAUGUUAUUGCACAAAUGUUGCUUGGUAAUACAUAAAUGGCCAUAAAAUACUACGAUUCAAAUAUUACUACUGACCCUAUUAUUUACUUCUAAAUCUUUCUAAUUUGGACUUGCACACCGUGCUAAAGUUGGAGGUAGAACUGUCUCUAGUAGGCUCAUUGAAAGUUCCUGACAAUAUAAUGUUUGUGUGAUAAAUAUCAUGCCUGGAUAAAUUGUAGCAGAAAGAAAAAUUUUGGAUUGGUGGUCCCAAUUCCCAAAAUGUUGUGGAGAGCCUUUGUUAUGUUUUAUGCAUUAUUAUUGAAGGAGGAUUACGCUAUAUUUGUUCUUGCGGAGGUAUAGAUCUCCCAUUUGUUUCUUGGUGAUAAGUAGGGUAACCUGUAGAAUCAAGUUUCUAAGAUAAUCCAUAUAGCAAUUUAUCAUUAGAGAUUGUUAUUGAGUGUGGAUUGAGAGGUUGGAAGGCUUCAUAGCUCCCAAAGUUAGGGUUUUCAUCUUAGGUAAAAUGGAAUAACUUGAAAGAUAAUUUGAAGUGAUUAACUGUGAAUCCUAGUCUUGUCCUUGAUCGAUUCUCAAUUAUUUCCCAUUCUCUUAAAUUCUUAGGCAUGUGAAUUUUCAUUUUACUUCCUGGUUAUGAUGGAUUUUUCCCUACUUCAAUUAGAAUUUGUUGAAAUCAUGUCCUUCUGAUGUGACUAUUUCGAUGAGUGAGCACCCACAUGCUGUAUUAGUAUAGUAAAGCAUUUCCGCGAUGCUUGAAAAAUUACAGAUGCUAGCAGCUCUUCGGAACUCA
RNAcentral lists this unclassified non-coding RNA (814 nucleotides) under Hevea brasiliensis (rubber tree). The record is from RNAcentral. Lineage: Eukaryota; Viridiplantae; Streptophyta; Magnoliopsida; Malpighiales; Euphorbiaceae.